Long non-coding RNA from Oncorhynchus masou masou (cherry salmon), 716 nucleotides. RefSeq lists it as uncharacterized. The transcript has 2 exons. The record is from RefSeq and is a predicted model, not a curated record. Lineage: Eukaryota; Metazoa; Chordata; Actinopteri; Salmoniformes; Salmonidae.
UGUCUUCGAAAAUAAAACCACAUGAGGAAUUUUUGUAUGGCGGUUUGGUACAAUUGUAUAAAUGCUAACAGAUCAUUUGUGGUUUCGACAUGUUUUUGCGUUGUCAAAUUAAUUAUGCGAUAAAUGGCUGUAGAAACGCCUUUAUGCUCAAUUAUUGAUAGCCUAUAAUAACAAUCAUAUCGAAGUAAAUUUGGGAGUCACGCGAUGACAUGUUGUGUGGUCCUCACACUACGACAAGGGAGACCAUGCAGUUUGCUAGGCUCCAGAGUAAGCACAUUUGGAAGAACUUCGCAGGGUGGUGAAAAUGCACGAGGAUCUGAGCCCGAGAACCAUGCCUCAGGACUCCCUGGCAUGAUGACUCCUUGCUGUCCCUAGUCCACCUGUCCGUGCUACUGCUCCAGUUUCAACUGUUCUGCCUCUGAUUAUUAUUAUUUGACCAUGCUGGUCAUUUAUGAACAUUUGAACAUCUUGGCCAUGUUCUGUUAUAAUCUCCACCCGGCACAGCCAGAAGAGGACUGGCCACCCCACAUAGCCUGGUUCCUCUCUAGGUUUCUUCCUAGGUUCCGGCCUUUCUAGGGAGUUUUUUCUAGCCACCGUGCUUCUACACCUGCAUUGCUUGCUGUUUGGGAUUUUAGGCUGGGUUUCUGUACAGCACUUUGAGAUAUCAGCUGAUGUACGAAGGGCUAUAUGAAUAAAUUUGAUUUAAAGCAAGUGUA